This 786-nucleotide non-coding RNA is filed under the name Pongo abelii (Sumatran orangutan). Lineage: Eukaryota; Metazoa; Chordata; Mammalia; Primates; Hominidae. The record is from RNAcentral.
GGGGGAGAAUGGGCAUCCCACCCCAGCACUUUCUAGGAAGAAGGGCAACAUUUUGAAGGGCUGGAAGUAGAGAAAGAAGGUUGCGGGUAGAAGACUCCAUACUUUCUGUGACGCCUAUUCCUUAGGAGAGCUUUUAUAUAACCAAAGAUAUUUUUGGACCAUGAAUUCGGAAAUUCUCGGAGCCACCCAUCAAUGCCUGAGCUUCAGUGAGUCCAUAUCCCAUGUCACCUACGGCAAAGGAGAAUCUGAGACUUCUGAAGAGUUUCUUGCUUCUUUCCUGUGGGGCAGUGACUCCACUUCCCAGCAGUAAUGGAAUAUCCUGAAUUAGCUACAUUAAUGUUAGAACCAUUUGGACCUCACCCAGGACUUCAACUACAUUGUGGCCCUCCAAACACCAGCACUGAGUAGAAAGAGGCUCUGAUUCAUGAAAUGUGAAUUUAUGACAGUUGCCACUCUUUAAAAAAAAACAGACAGAACUUGAGCAAUACAUGACUGAUGCAUUCUCAGCCUGCUUCCUGUGUUCCAUCUGUCUUUCUGGCAGUGCAUUCACCCUCCAGGUUCUAGUAUGUUAGGUUUAUGUUCCCCUGCUUUCUACAAUCCUGUUCAAAGAGUUGCUGACUUAACCACAGAGAGAAUUCCAGAACAUGAGACACAGAAUAAACUUGAACAAUCAUAGUCCAUCCACUUCAUUUUCUCAUCGAAAACCAAAGGUCCAGUGAGGCUCUGGAACUCGACGCUGUAAAGGAGCGAAGGAGCAUCUAUACAGAACCUGGAUGCCUGUCUCCU